Molecule: ribosomal RNA, 492 nt
Filed under: uncultured bacterium
Lineage: Bacteria
Description: partial 16S ribosomal RNA
Rfam family: Bacterial small subunit ribosomal RNA
Source: RNAcentral
AGUGAACGCUGGCGGUAGGCCUAACACAUGCAAGUCGAACGGCAGCACAGUAAGAGCUUGCUCUUACGGGUGGCGAGUGGCGGACGGGUGAGGAAUACAUCGGAAUCUACUUUUUCGUGGGGGAUAACGUAGGGAAACUUACGCUAAUACCGCAUACGACCUACGGGUGAAAGCAGGGGAUCUUCGGACCUUGCGCGAUUGAAUGAGCCGAUGUCGGAUUAGCUAGUUGGCGGGGUAAAGGCCCACCAAGGCGACGAUCCGUAGCUGGUCUGAGAGGAUGAUCAGCCACAAUGGAACUGAGACACGGGCCCGACUCCUAAGGGAGGCAGCAGUGGGGAAUAUUGGACAAUGGGCGGAAGCCUGAUCCAGCCAUACCGCGUGGGUGAAGAAGGCCUUCGGGUUGUAAAGCCCCUUUGUUGGGAAAGAAAAGCAGCAGGUUAAUACCCCGCUGUUCUGACGGUACCCAAAGAAUAAGCACCGGCUAACUUCGUG